RNAcentral lists this ribosomal RNA (777 nucleotides) under uncultured Neocallimastigales. RNAcentral describes it as "partial large subunit ribosomal RNA". It matches the Rfam family "Eukaryotic large subunit ribosomal RNA", at positions 24 to 635 of the family's 3401-position model. Lineage: Eukaryota; Fungi; Neocallimastigomycota; Neocallimastigomycetes; Neocallimastigales. The record is from RNAcentral.
GCGCAUCUGUGCAUGCAGCAUAUCAAUAAGCGGAGGAAAAGAAACUAACAAGGAUUCCCCUAGUAACGGCGAGUGAAGGCGGGAAGAGCUCAAAUUUGAAAUCUUAAAGGGUUUCCCUUUACGAAUUGUAGUUUAAAGAAGUGUUUUCUGUUGAGGUUUUGGUAAAAGUUCUUUGGAAUAGGACAUCAUAGAGGGUGAGAAUCCCGUAUUUGACCUUUACUUUCAACUUUGUGAUACACUUUCAAAGAGUCGGAUUGUUUGGGAAUGCAGUCCAAAAUGGGUGGUAAAUUUCAUCUAAAGCUAAAUAUUGGCGAGAGACCGAUAGCGAACAAGUACCGUGAGGGAAAGAUGAAAAGAACUUUGAAAAGAGAGUUAAACAGUACGUGAAAUUGUCAAAAGGGAAGCGUUUGACACCAGUGUUGUUUUUCUGAAAAUCAAUUAAAGAACUGUUUAUGCUAAGCUGUUUAGACUUUAUCAGCUAACUGUUUAGUUUUGAGCUUUUCUUUAAUGCACUUUUCAGUUAACAAGUCAACAUCAAUUUCUUUUGCUGUAAAAAAGCUUGAGGAAGGUGGCUUGAGAUUCGUCUUAAGUGUUUAUAGCCUCUUGCCUACUGCAGUCGGAGAGAUUGAGGUCUGCAGCGUAGAUCCUUCGGGGCUAAAUGCAUUUGUGCUAAGUUAUAGCAUUUUAUAGACAACUUGUUGACUAUGAUUUGUCUUGUAGCUUACUCGCUUAUGUUAUUUUACCUACGCUUAGGAUGUUGAACGCGCACAGAGUCUC